CGCGGCAUUAUUAUGCAUCGGGCUAGUUAACAGCAGCACCAGCGUGCACAGAGCGCAAGACGUAGAAGUUUACAAAGAAAAGCGCCUGUCAGGCAGCCCCGCCUCACAGGCAGAUAACAACAAAAGAGCGCGACUUACUGAUGUCACACAUCUAAGCCCGCCCUUCCACUCCCCAGAGCCUAUGAAUGGAUCGCUAUUGGAUACAGUCUAGAAAAUUCACUGAAGAAAGAGUUCAAUCCAAAUGUAUAAAGAACAGUUUACCUGCUUAACAACACAUCAGAGGAAGAUUUGAUUCAUGAACAUUUGCAAACUCGUAGCUGCAAUGGGGAAGGGUUCUUCUCAGCAAAACAUGAGUCUAAAAGCUGUGUUUAUUAUCGAUGUGAGAGAUCAAACAAAGCAAAAGGAAAAUCACAAGGGGACCCAUGCAAAACAAGAACUAAUGGUUGCAAAGCCUAUGUUAUUUUUACAUUCAUUCAUGAAACAUCUUUCAAUGGAUGUGUGGUGCGACUUCAAACUGUUCAUAAUGGUCAUGCUCUAAAAGAUACUAGUCAGCAAAAAGUGAUUCAAAUUCAUCCUGAACUACUCACGGUGAUUGAAGCAUAUUUGGCACAAGAUCUCAACUGAUAUACUGUAGGUGUUAGAGCAGCAGAGUGGGCAAAACAGUGAGGGUUUAAUGAUUUACGGGACCGCUGAUACAGUGUCACACCCCGUGAUGUUAAAGUAAUUAAAGAACAAUACGUAUCCAGACAAUACCUGGGUAUUGAUGAUUCCUCUAGUGUGGAUAAAAUGGUAAAAACAGACCUUAAAAACUGUGUUAUUUUAUCAGCCACUAGCACAGUGCGUCACAGACUCUCAUACUUGUCUUAUCCACUGAAUGACGCUUCAACAGUUACAGAAGCAUGGAAGUGAUUUUUUUAGAUGCUGCAUAUGAAGGAGUCUCUGCAUAUUCAUUUGGAAGUGAUUUUUUAGAUGCUCAUACGAAGGAGUCUCUGCAUAUUCAUUUGGAAGUGAUUUUUUAGAUGCUCAUACGAAGCAGUCUCUGCAUAUUCAUUUGGAAGUGAUUUUUUAGAUGCUCAUACGAAGCAGUCUCUGCAUAUUCAUUUGGAAGUGAUUUUUUAGAUGCUCAUACGAAGGAGUCUGCAUAUUCAUUUGGAAGUGAUUUUUUUAGAUGCUCAUACGAAGGAGUCUCUGCAUAUUCAUUUGGAAGUGAUUUUUUAGAUGCUCAUACGAAGGAGUCUCUGCAUAUUCAUUUGGAAGUGAUUUUUUAGAUGCUCAUACGAAGGAGUCUGCAUAUUCAUUUGGAAGUGAUUUUUUUAGAUGCUCAUACGAAGGAGUCUCUGCAUAUUCAUUUGGAAGUGAUUUUUUAGAUGCUCAUACGAAGGAGUCUCUGCAUAUUCAUUUGGAAGUGAUUUUUUUAGAAGCUCAUACGAAGGAGUCUCUGCACAUUCAUUUGCACUGUAUGCCUUGCUGAUUCCAAGUGAAGCAGGCCGUGGUGUUCCUGUUGCUUUUUUCAUUUUAAGUGAAGAAAAUACAGAAAAUCUGGCAUUGUGUCUCUGCAAAGUGAGAGAUGCCCUAAAUGGUUUUGCACCCAGGAUGAAGAAUACUGACUCUGUAUACUGAUUGGCUGGGUGUCAUUGCAGAAUGAAGAAUACUGACUCUGUAUACUGAUUGGCUGGGUGUCAUUGCAGAAUGAAGAAUACUGACUCUGUAUACUGAUUGGCUGGGUGUCAUGGCUAUGUUGGAAUCCAUUAUAUUCCAUCCUUACGUGCUGGAUGUGUGAUGAUCGACAAAGAUCAAAAAGAAGUAAAUGCAGCAAGGGAUGUGUUUCCUGGUGUUCUCCUCCUUUGCUGGUUUCAUGUACUACAGGUACACACAGGAAUGUGCCAUUAGAUGGUUGGUCCGGUGGGAUGGAGGAAACUUAAAUGUCUCAGAUAGAAAUGAAGUGAUCUGAUCUAUGAUUAGAUUAAAACAAUGUAACACUGUAAGUAGUGUGACAGAAAUAUAAUGAGUUUUGAUUGUAAAUCUCCCUCCCGACCUGUGAGGGCGCUAAGCAGCGAAAGUAGAGUUCUUUGGAUGGGCUGGCCUGACAGUUCUUUCCCCGGGCCGGGAAGUCGGUCAGUCUGGAAGGCGAUGAGACUCUGUUGCAGGAGCGUAUUGACCCAGAAGAGAAACGACAUAGCAGCUGCAGAUAGUAGAGACAGCUGCAAUCGUUUACCAAGGGGUCAUGCGUGAUAGCAUAAAAGGGGACAGAGAAUCACAAUCCACUUCUUUGCUUGGUUCGAUAGACAAGGAACUGGAAGGAUCGGGAGAAACCUCUAAAUAUAAUAUAAAUAAUUUGUGA
Acipenser ruthenus (sterlet) is the source of this 2341-nucleotide long non-coding RNA. RefSeq lists it as uncharacterized. Lineage: Eukaryota; Metazoa; Chordata; Actinopteri; Acipenseriformes; Acipenseridae. The transcript is spliced from 4 exons. The record is from RefSeq and is a predicted model, not a curated record.